Molecule: long non-coding RNA, 4292 nt
Filed under: Homo sapiens (human)
Lineage: Eukaryota; Metazoa; Chordata; Mammalia; Primates; Hominidae
Description: non-protein coding RASSF8-AS1:48
Source: RNAcentral
GUGAUUCAGCGUCCCUCUUAGCAGCAGGCAAUGACAGAGGCAGGAGAGGGGAAAAAAAAAAAGAAAGAAAGAAAAAACACAGCAAAUGAAUCAAACGGACGUGAGUAACAAAAGUUUAGAAAGAGCUGGGCUCGUAUUCAGAAAAAACGCCUCAUCCCCCCGCCCCGCUGCACUCCCAACCCCUUUAAAAAUAGCAGAUAAUCAAGAAAGGAAACGGGUGCUUUCAUAUGGAAAUACAGAUGUGUAUGUUGUUUUCAAUAUUCUACUGUUUUUUUGUGUGUGGCAUGCAAUUACUCAGGCACUGGGCAAAAUUCAGCCUUUGGAUUUUGUGGUCACACAUACCCCAACUCCGCAACAGCUAUUAAUUUGCAGGGCGAUGGGGUGCGGAUAGUGGAUGAGAUACAAGAAAGCAUUCCAAUUAAAAUGCCCCCCCCCACCCCGCCUUUUAAUUUUCCAGACACUUGCUUUUAUUUUUCUUUUUUUAAACAUCAUCAAAACAAGAAUAUUAAACUUGAAGCAGAAUUUGUUACAGCGUAUCUGACUCAGGACCUGAUUUAAGGUUUGGGGUUUUUUGGCCCUUUGUUUCUUCCUCUUGUUUUUUGACCUUUAGUUACUCCACACCUCAUUAGUUCCUUGACCUGCAGGUGGACUGAGAAGAGAGCCAUGCAGGUAGCAGGCAAGAGUGUGGUUAUCGUUGGACCAGGAUUCAGGAUCUGACUGAGUAGCUGACUCUUAAUCCAGUUUGUGUUGAUCACCAGGAGGAUCUGGACCUCAGUAUUACCACAUCUAGAGCUAUAAUCACAUCCCUGUUAAGCCUUCCUGAGAUCACACCAAAUGUCCUUGAUGGGAAUUGUAAACAACCCUUACUUCUGGUUUCUAAUGAUAUUCCAGGAAAGGAGCCUAACUAGAGUCAGUGAUAUGCCAACUCCACCUUUGCCUUCCACCAUGUUUGGAAGCUCCCUGAGGCCUCACCAGGAGCAGAUGCUCGUCCCAUGCUUCCUAUAAGCCUGCAGAACUGUGAGCCAUAAUAAACUGUGAAUUAUAAAUUGCCUUUAUAGCAAUGCAAAUGGACCAGUACAGAUGGGAUGCUGGGAAGACAGUUGUUUCCACCUUCAGUAAAGUCCGUGGAACACAGUUGUGACUAUAUUCUAGGCCAGCCAAGAUGCUUGUACUCAGAAAGGAGUGGUCUCAGGACCAUAAGAAAGUGAAAAAAUAAAAAUAAGAAAAUAAAGAAGGGAUUGUCAAUGAAUCAGAAUUCAUCAAGGUCAAAGUCUUAGGAAAUUCCUUCAUGAGGAAGUCUAGGGGGGCUAUGGAAAUGAAAUUUUUAAACAAAUAGGUAUGUGGUGCUGGCAGGAAUAAAUUAUGGACUUAUGAAUAUAACAUAAGAUUCUUUAUUACCUGGUCUCACCCGUCUUUCCACCUCUGCCCCCCUUCUUGCCCGACUCUGUGUAUCACCCAUAAUAAACUACUUACAGCUUCCUAGUGUUAAAUUUACCCUAAAGCUGCCUCCUUCAAUAUUUUAAGUUUAACCUAAAGGUUCUUCAUACAUAGUGAACUAUAACCCAAUGAUUAAACAGAUUGUAACCUACUCUUGUACCAGUCACCAAGUUUCAGCCAAUCAGAGGUGGCCAACUGUUCAAACCAUGCUCAAAUAAGGGAAAUGUCAUGGUGUAACUAAUCCAGCUGUUUCUAUACCUUACUUCUGUUUUCUUAGGUCACUUUCCUUUUUUGUCCAUAAAUUCUCUCCAACCACUCAGCAGCACUGGAGUCACUCCAAAGCUAUCCUGGUUCAGGGGUCUGUCUGAUUCACAAGUCAUUCUUUGUUCAAUUGAGCUCUGCUAAAUUUAAUUUGUCUGAAGUUUUUCUUUUAACAGAUGGUGUCAGAAAUGGACCCCAAAGUAGAGCUCCCAGUGAUCCCCCAGGAGCACUGAGUGACCACAAGGGGUACCUGCUGGGCCCGUCCUCUCGCAGUGUCCACUGCUCUCUUACAGCAACUGGAGAUUGUGGCUGCAUUCUCUCUCAGAUUCUGAAGCUCCAUACAUUGCCGUUUUCAGCUGUUCAAGCUUGCUUGAGCAAAUUUUUGAUCUUAGCUGAGUUUGGAAGUCGAUAGACAUUGGACUGGGUCCAGGAUUUGAUUGGAUCUGAUAAUUAACUGGCUUGGAUCCAGUUAGAUGCCUCGGUUAUCUGACUGGGUCAGAUAGAAACCGCCAGUAAAUAUUUUAAUAACAAUACUGCAGGGGUAUGAACUCUGGCUUUAAGAAACUCACAAGGAAUUUUAUGUUCUAUACCCUUUGUUUCUUUUUCUUGUGUGCUUCGGUCAGGAAAAAUCAUUAGUCAAGUUAAUCAAGGGGAUCUGAGAGCCAAAUACAAGAUUCAACGUAAAAAUGGAAUCCUUGGGCUAGGCGUGGUGGCUCAGGCCUGUAAUCCCAGGACUUUGGGAGGCUGAGGCAGGCGGAUCACCUGACCUUAGGAGUUCGAGACCAGUCUGGCCAACAUGGUGAAACCCCGUCUCCACUAAAAAUACAAAAAUUAGCCAGGCGUGGUGGUGGGCACCUGUAAUCCCAGCUACUUUGGAGGCUGAGGCAGGAUAAUCACUUGAACCCAGGAGGCAGAGGUUGCAGUGAUCUGAGAUUGCACCACUGCACUCCAGCCUGGGCAAAAGAGCGAGACUCCAUCUCAUAAAUAAAUACAUAAAUAAAUAAAGAAAUCCUUAAUUUCUGCGGAACUGAGUGCUCUACCUUCUGGCUACACCUACGUAUACCUGUAUGAGGUAUAGGCCCUGGAAGCAGCAAACACUUACAGAAAUGGUGAAAUCUUACUAAAGGUAAUCUAAAGUUAUGGUGGAACAUCCCAAAUGAACAACACUGCACUUUAGGAAGUACAUAUAAAAAUGAAGUCUCCCAAUUUAGUAUUAUUCAGGGAUGGCUGUUGAAGUUCAGAAGCUUCUAAAAAGAUUCCAAUAAUUUUACAGAUUCUUUUAAAAGAUUCUUUGUAAAAGGCAAAUAAAAAGCUUAAGUGACUAAUCAGAAAAAUUAGGUCUUCUAACCUUUUGUCAUUGUUACUGUCUUGCCCUGAAAGGGAAAAGAAAGCUGGAUAAAGUAUUUAUAGAAGAUAGAGGACCUGUGGUGGCUCAUGCCUGUAAUCCAAGGUGGAAGGAUUGCUUGAGGCCAGAAGUUCAAGACCAGUCCAAGCAACAUAGCAAGGCCCCAUCUCUACAAAAAAUGAAAAUAAAAUUAGCCGAGCGUGAUGGCUCAUGCCUGUAGUUCUAGCUUCUAGAGAGGCUGAGGCAGGAGGAUUGCUUGAGUCCAGGAGUUCAAGAUUACAGUGAGCUAUGGUCACACCACUGCACUCCAGCCUGGGUGAUGGAGUGAGACUGUCUCAAUAAAAAGACAAAAAGGUAAGCCCUUAGGUAAAGUAAGCUUGCUUCUUUGUUAGAGCUAUCCAUGCUGAGUCCAGGCAAAGAAAAUGCUUUCUUUGGCCUGGUGCGGUGGCUCAUGCCUGUAAUCCCAACACUUUUGGAGGCCAAGGUGGGCAGAUCACAAGGUCAAGAGUUCAAGAUGAGCCUGACCAACAUGGUGAAGCCCCAUCUCUACUAAAAAUACAAAAAUUAGCCAGGUGUGGUGGUGCGCACCUGUAAUCCCAGCUAUUCAGGAGGCUGAGGCAAGAGAAUCACUUGAACCCAGGAGGCAGAGGUUGCAGUGAGCUGAGAUUGCACCUUUGCACUCUCACUCUGGCCUGGGCAAUAGAGCAAGACUCCAUCUCAAAAAAAAAAAAAAAAGAAAAAAGAAAAUGCUUUCUUUGCACAGUUCAGUAAUGAGCUCUGCCCCGAACUCAGUAAUUUUAGCAAAGAAACAGUAGCUAAGUUAAGAAGACCGCCUAUUGAACUAAGUUGGUCUCCAAAAUGUACCUUUCUGGCAUUUAGAUGGCUACUUUGAAACCCUUUUGUAAAUGAAAUUUACAUCUAUAAAGGAAAUCGCCAUCUGUAAGGGCAUCUACACUGAGAAGAGGGUGGACUGGGUCACUAGAAACUCUUACCACUGAUCUAACAUAAAUCUUACCAUUGUUUAAGGUGCUUUUCCUUGCCAUCUUGUCUUAACCGGGCCUUUACCGACACUUUUCUUCCUUGGUUUAGGGAACCAGUGGUACAGUAUUUAGGCCCAAAGUCUCAGCUCUGUGCUUUUGAGAUAUGAAUUUUUCACCGUGUUCCACCUAAUAGCAUCCCUUUAGAAGUACAAAUUUAGGGCCGGGCGCGGUGGCUCACGCCUGUAAUCCCAGCACUUUGGGAGGCCGAG